UUCACUGUUUUUUCUUUUUUUUCCGUCAUCAAUUCAAUAUUAAGUUUAAAACAUAUUUAGAUCACAUUGACUUAAAUAAUCAAUCUUAUUUCUCUCAACCACUUUGAACGUCUCUUUUCUCUUUCUCUAUUCAUCUUUUUUUCCACAUUCUCUUUUCCUCUAUGUUUCUUUAUUAUUUAUUUUAUUUCAAUUUAUGACUCACUCUUUCUAUCAUAUCGUCCUUGAUGUUUUA
Molecule: long non-coding RNA, 232 nt
Filed under: Lathyrus oleraceus (garden pea)
Lineage: Eukaryota; Viridiplantae; Streptophyta; Magnoliopsida; Fabales; Fabaceae
Description: Pisum sativum (pea) long non-coding RNA (PSAT_LNC008658)
Source: RNAcentral